AUGGGAAUUGUCCUUUUCAAUUCCUGCCCCAGCUAUGACCACAGGUACAGGAAGAAGCAUUCAGUGAAGAAGAACAAUAAAAGUAUAAGAAAUACCAUGAAAAAAGGAAGAAAGCAAAAAAGAAAUAUCGAAAAUCAAGAGGAAAGAUUGGACAGUCAUGUAACAAAGAUGGAACUGGGGAAGAAAGAAGAAAGAAGAGGGUUUCAUGUCCUAAGCUUCCAAUUAAACCCAUAUCUGGAGUGUUAUUUCACACAGGAAUAGGACCACUUUGAUGGAAAAGAAGCUGCAAAGCUACAGAAAUUCAAGAGAAUCAAUAUUCAGGUAUUUGGUUUCAACUACUUUCCUGUAUAUUUAAUUAUGGAUUUCUUUAUUAGGGCAAUAUUGGAUAUGGAAGGUCAUUUUGGGAAGGCUAUUCUCUUCAGACUUCUAGCAGUUGUU
This 438-nucleotide long non-coding RNA is filed under the name Numida meleagris (helmeted guineafowl). RNAcentral's name for it is "lncRNA (ENSNMEG00000006079.1)". Lineage: Eukaryota; Metazoa; Chordata; Aves; Galliformes; Numididae. The record is from RNAcentral.